This is a long non-coding RNA of Gallus gallus (chicken), 681 nucleotides long. RefSeq lists it as uncharacterized. Lineage: Eukaryota; Metazoa; Chordata; Aves; Galliformes; Phasianidae. The transcript is spliced from 3 exons. The record is from RefSeq and is a predicted model, not a curated record.
AAUACAGAUACGUUGACCAAAAGGGCAGCGAUCGGCCUACAUUGCUCUGAUCUGUGUCAGUGGAGGUAAAGGUCAGGCCCACAAAAGCUGUGGUUUAGAGGCAACAUGAUGGGAGAGCACUGUUGCCCUUUUGAGUGAUGUCAUCUUCCUGUGCUGAGGUCAGAAACCCCAACAAAGGGCAAUGGAGCUCCUGAGGGCCAUGGCUCUGCAGGGAUCCCUCCAGCAGCUCAGGGAAGCAAGGAGCAACAUGGGAGCUGCCGGGCACGGAGAGGCCAAACAGAUGCAGAAGGCAGGGCUGGCUCUUGCAGGCUCACUGGGGGCUUUGUGAGAACACAGCUUCUGACACUACAGAGAUUUCCAUCUUACCCAGUUGGACCACAUGGAUGCAGAAACACUGCCGAGGUUGUUUACACCUUCGAACUGGAAUGAGAAAGACCUUGAAGUGAGUUUCAGAAACCUUAACUCUGAGUCCUGAAUUUUCAUCCAAAGUGUAAUUCGAUGCAAAUGGAUUGCUUAUUGUAUCCCUACAGAGAAACCAGUACUUUUCCAAAGACCUCUACGAGGGAUUUAUGAAAUAACCAUUUUCCUUUGUAACCGUAACCUUCUAAUUAGAUUUCAUCCUAAGGUGAAGUUGUUAAACCCUUCAGAACUGAGACAUUACACACAAUUCUCUAUAAUCUC